GAUGAACGCUAGCGGCAGGCCUAAUACAUGCAAGUCGAACGGUCGUAGCAAUACGAUAGUGGCGCACGGGUGCGUAACGCGUAACCAACCUGCCCUUGACUGGGGGAUAGCCCGCCGAAAGGCGGAUUAAUACCGCAUAACACAGUGGCCCGGCAUCGGGUAAUUGUUAAAGAUUUAUUGGUCAAGGAUGGGGUUGCGUGCCAUUAGCUA
RNAcentral lists this ribosomal RNA (210 nucleotides) under uncultured bacterium. RNAcentral describes it as "partial 16S ribosomal RNA". It matches the Rfam family "Bacterial small subunit ribosomal RNA", at positions 28 to 247 of the family's 1533-position model. The record is from RNAcentral.